This 429-nucleotide ribosomal RNA is filed under the name Gemmatimonadota bacterium. RNAcentral describes it as "Gemmatimonadetes bacterium partial 16S ribosomal RNA". It matches the Rfam family "Bacterial small subunit ribosomal RNA", at positions 355 to 776 of the family's 1533-position model. The record is from RNAcentral. Lineage: Bacteria; Pseudomonadati; Gemmatimonadota.
UAGGGAAUCUUCGGCAAUGGACGAAAGUCUGACCGAGCAACGCCGCGCGAGUGAAGAAGGUUUUCGGAUCGUAAAACUCUGUUGUUAGAGAAGAACAAGGACGUUAGUAACUGAACGUCCCCUGACGGUAUCUAACCAGAAAGCCACGGCUAACUACGUGCCAGCAGCCGCGGUAAUACGUAGGUGGCAAGCGUUGUCCGGAUUUAUUGGGCGUAAAGCGAGCGCAGGCGGUUUCUUAAGUCUGAUGUGAAAGCCCCGGGCUCAACCGGGGAGGGUCAUUGGAAACUGGGAGACGUGAGUGCAGAAGAGGAGAGUGGAAUUCCAUGUGUAGCGGUGAAAUGCGUAGAUAUAUGGAGGAACACCAGUGGCGAAGGCGGCUCUCGGGUCUGUAACUGACGCUGAGGCUCGAAAGCGUGGGGAGCAAACAGG